Molecule: transfer RNA, 77 nt
Filed under: Paramuricea clavata
Lineage: Eukaryota; Metazoa; Cnidaria; Anthozoa; Malacalcyonacea; Plexauridae
Rfam family: tRNA
About the family: Transfer RNA (tRNA) molecules are approximately 80 nucleotides in length. Their secondary structure includes four short double-helical elements and three loops (D, anti-codon, and T loops). Further hydrogen bonds mediate the characteristic L-shaped molecular structure. tRNAs have two regions of fundamental functional importance: the anti-codon, which is responsible for specific mRNA codon recognition, and the 3' end, to which the tRNAs corresponding amino acid is attached (by aminoacyl-tRNA synthetases). tRNAs cope with the degeneracy of the genetic code in two manners: having more than one tRNA (with a specific anti-codon) for a particular amino acid; and 'wobble' base-pairing, i.e. permitting non-standard base-pairing at the 3rd anti-codon position.
Source: Rfam by way of RNAcentral
GACCGCGUAGCUCAGUAAGUUGGCAGAGCAGUGGGCUAGUAUUCCAAAGGUUGUGGGUUCGAUUCCCACCGUGGCCA